Molecule: long non-coding RNA, 240 nt
Filed under: Salvia miltiorrhiza (redroot sage)
Lineage: Eukaryota; Viridiplantae; Streptophyta; Magnoliopsida; Lamiales; Lamiaceae
Description: long non-coding RNA (SMIL_LNC008842)
Source: RNAcentral
GAGCGUUUGAAUGACUCCGGACACAAUCGGCGCCACACGCAGAUCAUCGGUGACGACGAAAGACAACGGGCUGAUGGUGAAAGCUGCGGCGUUUAGACAUCCCACAACGCGUUCUUCUCUGUUCAAGGAUUUCCCACAAUCACAAGCAGCUAUAUCAGAAUACAUGCUGAUAUUCCUUGAACCUGAUUUCGGACAAUGAUGGUCUUGACAAACGAAGUAUCGGUUAGUAUCGCUGUCAGU